RNAcentral lists this ribosomal RNA (725 nucleotides) under uncultured bacterium. RNAcentral describes it as "bacterial SSU rRNA". It matches the Rfam family "Bacterial small subunit ribosomal RNA", at positions 31 to 744 of the family's 1533-position model. The record is from RNAcentral.
GUACCCUAGCGGGAUUUUUUACACAUGCAAGUCGAACGGCAGCGCGAGAGAGCUUGCUCUCUUGGCGGCGAGUGGCGGACGGGUGAGUAAUAUAUCGGAACGUGCCCAGUAGCGGGGGAUAACUACUCGAAAGAGUGGCUAAUACCGCAUACGCCCUACGGGGGAAAGGGGGGGAUCGCAAGACCUCUCACUAUUGGAGCGGCCGAUAUCGGAUUAGCUAGUUGGUGGGGUAAAGGCUCACCAAGGCAACGAUCCGUAGCUGGUUUGAGAGGACGACCAGCCACACUGGGACUGAGACACGGCCCAGACUCCUACGGGAGGCAGCAGUGGGGAAUUUUGGACAAUGGGGGAAACCCUGAUCCAGCCAUCCCGCGUGUAUGAUGAAGGCCUUCGGGUUGUAAAGUACUUUUGGCAGAGAAGAAAAGGUAUCCCCUAAUACGGGAUACUGCUGACGGUAUCUGCAGAAUAAGCACCGGCUAACUACGUGCCAGCAGCCGCGGUAAUACGUAGGGUGCAAGCGUUAAUCGGAAUUACUGGGCGUAAAGCGUGUGUAGGCGGUUCGGAAAGAAAGAUGUGAAAUCCCAGGGCUCAACCUUGGAACUGCAUUUUUAACUGCCGAGCUAGAGUAUGUCAGAGGGGGGUAGAAUUCCACGUGUAGCAGUGAAAUGCGUAGAUAUGUGGAGGAAUACCGAUGGCGAAAGGCAGCCCCCUGGGAUAAUACUGAC